UAAUGCCUGCGGUACUCGUGAUAUUGUAAUCGAUUCUGAACCAAGUAAAAAUUCGGAAGUCGAGCCAUUUAUCGCGGAUAAGCCAGACAGGAUCUGGAUAUGUAAGAUAAGAUACGGUAGACGUCCACCUGUAACGGUGGUUCGAGAGAGAUACAAUACACGGUACACGCAGGUUAUCA
This 179-nucleotide non-coding RNA is filed under the name Candidatus Cloacimonadota bacterium. Its description in RNAcentral is "6S RNA". It matches the Rfam family "6S / SsrS RNA". Rfam says of the family: E. coli 6S RNA was the first non coding RNA to be sequenced, but its function was unknown until recently. It consists of 184 nucleotides that fold into an extended hairpin structure with a large single-stranded internal bulge. The 6S RNA specifically associates with RNA polymerase holoenzyme containing the sigma70 specificity factor. The record is from RNAcentral. Lineage: Bacteria; Pseudomonadati; Candidatus Cloacimonadota.